Rhododendron vialii is the source of this 267-nucleotide long non-coding RNA. RefSeq lists it as uncharacterized. The record is from RefSeq and is a predicted model, not a curated record. The transcript has 3 exons. Lineage: Eukaryota; Viridiplantae; Streptophyta; Magnoliopsida; Ericales; Ericaceae.
AGAAGAGAAAGAGGAGGAGGGUCUGUUCUUCACGAAAUUAUUCAAGGUGUCAAGCUAGUCAAUUGGGAGGGGCCGAAACCAUAAGUUUGGCGUACCUCGGUCGAUACAAAGGUAGCAGGUUGCUUAGAAUGAGUCCACUACUGAUCGUCGUGUUGAGGUGUUUUGCUAGCGUCAGGUGGGGUUUUGGUUAUGUUGUUUUGGAGUGCUUUAGCUGGUACAUAACUUAAUUGUAAGGAGUUGUAGCUAAGGGUAGUUAAAUUUUUUAAA